This 460-nucleotide ribosomal RNA is filed under the name uncultured bacterium. RNAcentral's name for it is "partial 16S ribosomal RNA". It matches the Rfam family "Bacterial small subunit ribosomal RNA", at positions 338 to 795 of the family's 1533-position model. The record is from RNAcentral.
CCUACGGGAGGCAGCAGUGAGGAAUAUUGGUCAAUGGACGAGAGUCUGAACCAGCCAAGUAGCGUGAAGGAUGAAGGCCCUAUGGGUUGUAAACUUCUUUUAUAUGGGAAUAAAACAGGGUACGCAUACCCUCUUGGAUGUACCAUAUGAAAAAGGAUCGGAUAAAUCCGUGCCAGCAGCCGCGGUAAUACGGAGGAUAAGAGCGUUAUCCGGAUUUAUUGGGUUUAAAGGGAGCGUAGGUGGAGUGUUAAGUCUGUUGUGAAAGUUGGCGGCUCAACCGUGAAAUUGCUGUUGAAACUGGCUGUCUUGAGUACAGUAGAGGUGUGCGGAAUUCGUGGUGUAGCGGUGAAAUGCUUAGCUAUCACGAAGAACUCCGAUUGCGAAGGCAGCUCACUGGACUGCAACUGACACUGAUGCUCGACAGUGUGGGUAUCAAACAGGAUUAGAUACCCCAGUAGUC